RNAcentral lists this ribosomal RNA (292 nucleotides) under uncultured bacterium. RNAcentral describes it as "partial 16S ribosomal RNA". It matches the Rfam family "Archaeal small subunit ribosomal RNA", at positions 455 to 747 of the family's 1478-position model. The record is from RNAcentral.
GUGCAGCCGCCGCGGUAAUACCGGCAUCCCAAGUGAUGGCCGCUGUUAUUGGGCCUAAAGCGUCCGUAGCUGGCCGCACAAGUCCGUCGGGAAAUCCGCCCGCUCAACGGGCGGCCGUCCGGCGGAACCUGUGUGGCUUGGGACCGGGAGGCCUGAGGGGUACGAUCGGGGUAGGAGUGAAAUCCUGUAAUCCCGUUCGGGCCGCCGAUGGAGAAACCACCUCAGGAGAACGGAUCCGACAGUGAGGGACGAAAGCCAGGGUCUCGAACCGGAUUAGAAACCCUGGUAGUCC